UAGCCCCGGCGAGACAGACGCCUGGAGACAGGUGGAGAGGCCGGUGGGGCUGGGCAGGCGCUGCUAUCUGCGGGAGCCCGGACUUGUACA
This 90-nucleotide small RNA is filed under the name Equus asinus (donkey). RNAcentral's name for it is "GRIK4 3 prime UTR element". It matches the Rfam family "GRIK4 3 prime UTR element". RNAcentral also lists the same sequence under 1 other name. The record is from Rfam by way of RNAcentral. Lineage: Eukaryota; Metazoa; Chordata; Mammalia; Perissodactyla; Equidae.